GAUGAAGAACGUAGCGAAAUGCGAUACGUAAUGUGAAUUGCAGAAUUCAGUGAAUCAUCGAAUCUUUGAACGCAUAUUGCGCUCUCUGGUAUUCCGGAGAGCAUGCUUGUUUGAGUAUCAGUAAACACCUCAACUCCCUUUUCUUUUUUGAAAUUGGAGCUGGACUUGAGUGAUCCCAACGCUUUCUUCCAAGAAAGUGGCGGGUUGCUUGAAAUGCAGGUGCAGCUGAACUUUUCUCUGAGCUAUAAGCAUAUCUAUUUAGUCUGCCUAAAAAACAGAUUAUUACCUUUGCUGCAGCUAACAUAAAGGAGACUAGUUCUUGUGCUGACUGAUGCAGGAUUCACAGAGACAGCUUCGGCUGACUUUGUAAACUCGAUCUCAAAUCAAGUAAGACUACCCGCUGAACUUAAGCAUAUCAUAAGCGGAGGA
RNAcentral lists this unclassified non-coding RNA (429 nucleotides) under soil metagenome. Its description in RNAcentral is "partial contains 5.8S ribosomal RNA, internal transcribed spacer 2, and large subunit ribosomal RNA". The stretch from base 1 to 120 matches the Rfam family "5.8S ribosomal RNA", at positions 35 to 154 of the family's 154-position model. The record is from RNAcentral.